Molecule: ribosomal RNA, 497 nt
Filed under: uncultured bacterium
Lineage: Bacteria
Description: partial 16S ribosomal RNA
Rfam family: Bacterial small subunit ribosomal RNA
Source: RNAcentral
GAUGAACGCUGGCGGCGUGCCUAAUACAUGCAAGUCGAGCGAACAGAUAAGGAGCUUGCUCCUUUGACGUUAGCGGCGGACGGGUGAGUAACACGUGGGUAACCUACCUAUAAGACUGGAAUAACUCCGGGAAACCGGGGCUAAUGCCGGAUAACAUUUAGAACCGCAUGGUUCUAAAGUGAAAGAUGGUUUUGCUAUCACUUAUAGAUGGAUCCGCGCCGUAUUAGCUAGUUGGUAAGGUAACGGCUUACCAAGGCAACGAUACGUAGCCGACCUGAGAGGGUGAUCGGCCACACUGGAACUGAGACACGGUCCAGACUCCUACGGGAGGCAGCAGUAGGGAAUCUUCCGCAAUGGGCGAAAGCCUGACGGAGCAACGCCGCGUGAGUGAUGAAGGUCUUCGGAUCGUAAAACUCUGUUAUUAGGGAAGAACAAAUGUGUAAGUAACUGUGCACGUCUUGACGGUACCUAAUCAGAAAGCCACGGCUAACUACGUG